CAGGAGCUUCAAACACUCCCAAACCCUUUGUUAAAUCUACCUAUUGUUGCUUCGGCAGGCGGCCCCAGGGCGGGGCUGUGGCCUUUUUAGGUGCCUGCCGGAGGUAUCAAACUCGUCAUUUUUUAGUGUCUGAGUCUCUAUAAAAAUAGAAUCA
This 154-nucleotide unclassified non-coding RNA is filed under the name uncultured Sordariales. RNAcentral's name for it is "sequence contains ITS1". Lineage: Eukaryota; Fungi; Ascomycota; Sordariomycetes; Sordariales. The record is from RNAcentral.